CGAGUUUGAUCCUGGCUCAGAACGAACGCUGGCGGCAUGCCUAACACAUGCAAGUCGAACGCUGCACCGGGGCUUGCCUUGGUGUGGAGUGGCGCACGGGUGAGUAGCGCGUGGGAACCUGUCCUGUUGUGGGGGAUAACCGAGGGAAACUUCGGCUAAUACCGCAUGCGCCCCUGGGGGAGACCCUGGGGGGAAAGAUUUAUCGCAGCAGGAGGGGCCCGCGUCGGAUUAGCUAGUUGGUGAGGUAAAGGCUCACCAAGGCGACGAUCCGUAGCUGGUCUGAGAGGACGAUCAGCCACACUGGGACUGAGACACGGCCCAGACUCCUACGGGAGGCAGCAGUAGGGAAUCUUGCGCAAUGGGCGAAAGCCUGACGCAGCGACGCCGCGUGAGGGAAGAAGGCCUUCGGGUUGUAAACCUCUUUCAGGAGGGACGAAGCCACUCGGGUUAAUAGCCCAGAGGGUGACGGUACCUCCAGAAGAAGCCCCGGCUAACUACGUGCCAGCAGCCGCGGUAAUAAGU
Molecule: ribosomal RNA, 522 nt
Filed under: uncultured bacterium
Lineage: Bacteria
Description: bacterial SSU rRNA
Rfam family: Bacterial small subunit ribosomal RNA
Source: RNAcentral